CGGUGUCGGUCCCAUUGGAGUAAGAUAUUCUUUCAUUCCGUUUCUUAUGAUUUCACACCUGAUCCAAGCAAAAAGAAAUAGGUAAAUCUAACAUCUGCCAUAUCUGUACUGUUAGCUUAUGAAGGCAGAGGUGUACCGCAUAGUUAGAAGAGCUCUUCAUGCAAACAAAGUGGUGCCUAAGUAUGUCUAUCCUGUGUUCAUACUGACGAAAACAAGUAGUAGCUGGGGUUGCUUUUCAGGUUUUACUUUUAUUAUAGUUCAGGUUCAUAUAGAAAAGUUCUGGGAUCUUCAGGAAGUAAGUUGCAUGUAGUUUCUCCACAUGAAGUCUGUUUAAUUUUCGG
This 341-nucleotide long non-coding RNA is filed under the name Nicotiana benthamiana. Its description in RNAcentral is "long non-coding RNA (NBEN_LNC024169)". Lineage: Eukaryota; Viridiplantae; Streptophyta; Magnoliopsida; Solanales; Solanaceae. The record is from RNAcentral.